AGAGCUGGUCUGAGCCGGCCACGUCAAGACAAACUCCUGGGCACUUCCCCGCCCAGGGCCGGGAGUUGUCUUGGUAGCUGCCUAGUCUACUUUGUAGCAGCUCUGCUGAGCGCUCCCCUGGCACGCUUUUCCCUCACUGGUCUACCAGUCUCUGAGCAGAACACACUUCUGAUCUUUGCAGCUGCUAGUCUGGAAGAAGCUGCUCUGAAGGAGUGAUGUUUAGGCUGAGACCCGAAUGAGAAGGAGGAGCCCACCAGGCAGAGCCGUUGGGAAGGAGCUGCAGGCACAGGAACAGCCCGUGUGUGAGCAGAAGCGGGCACGGUGGCGUGUGACUCAGCGCAUGCAGGGACAAGCGAUCUGAGCACAGCGGAAGCCAUGGCAGAGGCUGGGCAAGGGAGCAACACACAGGAUGGUCAGAGGUGGCAGGAGGGUGCAGAGAGAGGUCCAGCAGGUCUUGCUCGCGGACGGAAUCCAGUUGCGUCUGGAGUUGUUUCUACAGGCAGCAAAGCCCCGGCUGGUAAGGUAAGAGUAGAGCCCUCUCAUCAGGGCUGAGUUCUCAGCACUUAAGCCACUUUCCCACCUCUCUGUGGGGGGAUGAGCGGGGUGUGGGCAAGAGGACCCAGAAGCCCGGCUUGCCCGGCCGCAGGCUGGCUGGCUCUCGAACCGCAACCCCCACGAGAGCAGGAAUUCUUCCCCCGGCAGCCAAAACUGACUUCUGAAAAGCAACUGGGGUCCUCAGAGAACCUCCCAAGGGCUGAUAUCUGCACGGGAACGGCUCUGUGCUUAUGCCCCAGUCGUUCAUUCCCCAGGGACAUUUUUACAUGUGUGCCACGGGAGUGGGAGCGUCAGGAAGACAAGGGGACCUCGUCCUGGAGAGUGACCUUGGGGAGUUCAAGGGCACUGCCCUGGCCUGGCACAUCCUGCGUGGGGAGCAGAGGGUGCACCUGUCUGCUCCUGCCAUCAUCCACAGCAGUACCCCCUCCUUCUCCCCACACUGAAUGGCACGGAAUCCACCUCCACCCGCCCUGCCCCUCCUGCAAAGUGCUCUGUGUGGGAGGUGGUAUCAGUCCCGAUGUUUUCAGCUGCGUGUAACAGAGCACCCGACGCGGACAGGCAGUUCCAGGGUCAGUUAACUCUGCGGCUGGAGGAUUCCAAUCUCUGUGACACUCUUGCAUCUCCCCUGGUGCUUGACAGGGAACCACAGCACAUCGGAAGGAGCUUUUCAUGCCUCCAAUGGAGGCAGCGACGCCUGACCGUGUCCCUGCUACGGGGAUGCUCGUCCCAACCCGGGUGCUGCUGGCAUUCGGGCCUGGCCAGUUCUGCAUUGUGGGGCUGUCCUGUGCACUGUAGGGUGUGGAGCAGCAUCCUUGGCUUCUACCCACGCCCUCUCCCCCCAGGACAAUCAGAAAUGUCUCCAGACACAGCCAGAUGCUACCAAGGCACACAGUGCCUGACCUAUGAGCCGCUGGCCUACCUUCCGCAGUGGACCCUCCCUCAUGAGCACCCCCAGCGGCUUUCCUCUCACCCCCCUGGAGGGGAUUGGUUGACAUGCAAUCCUGGUCAGCAUGCAGCUUUUGAAAAGCUCCUUCUGCAACUUCCUGGUUUUAUAUUCUUGGCAUAUCGACAUCAUGAAAAUCCAUUUCCUUAUCAAUGUACCUGGGGAUGAUCCCUAAGGGGCACUGGGCCCACAACCCCCUGAAGGAUGCCUGUGGGCUGCACAGCUGUGUCUGUGGCCACCCACCCUCCCCAGCCACCACAACUGGGGUCGGCUACGUAAUCCGUGGGGCCAGGUGUGAAAUGAACAUCCAGGCGCUUUGUUAAAAAAUUGUUGAGAAUUUCAAGGUGAUGACAGCAAAUCAUUAGAGGGCGCUCCAUCCGACAGUCACUGGGCUCAGUUCCUUGCGUCAUCUCCUUCCAUCUUCAAAGCAAACACGGCCCCCUUUAAAGGAUAAAAAAAAGCCCACGCUGACAAGGUUGAUCUCUUGAACAUGAUGGCCAGACCAGUAAGACGUGGACCAGGAUCCUGAAAAAGGAAUUUAGCCCACACCAUCCUACCAUAAUCUUCAGGAGCCAUCCUUUUCCAAGUAACUCAAACACACGAACAAGAGUGAAGUGUCUGCUAUGUAAUAAGGAAGCUCAUCUUCCAGACAAGCCCCCAGCCCUGCCACCACACAGAAGGCUGAACCUAAGCUCCUCCCGCAGAGGGUUGCUGGAGCAGUCGCUGCCCUAGAUUUAACACAAGGUCUGUCUAAAAUCAGCUUAGUGAUUGCUGGGGUGGGAGGGAUGGGGAGUGACUGCUUAAUAGCUACAAGAUCUCCUUUGAGAUGAAAAUGUUUGGGAACUAAAUAGAAGUGAUGGUUGUACGACAUUGUGAAUGAACCAAAUGCCACUUAAAAGGGGUUCACUCUAUGCUAUGUGAAUUUUACUUCAAUAAACAAACAAAAACAAAGUCUUUC
Lemur catta (Ring-tailed lemur) is the source of this 2456-nucleotide long non-coding RNA. RefSeq lists it as uncharacterized. The record is from RefSeq and is a predicted model, not a curated record. The transcript has 3 exons. NCBI's taxonomy places the organism in Eukaryota, Metazoa, Chordata, Mammalia, Primates, Lemuridae.